CUGCUCACGUUUAGGCUCAUUAUCACUAAAUCUCGAUCACAUCAUAUGAAAAUCCCCGUGGAGAUCGAAGAGAUUGCAUGCUGUAAAGUGCAAAUACUAAAUGAUAGUGCUAUCUCUUUCUCAAAGCGCUCAACUUCGCCAUUAAUGUAUUAUGCACCAGAAUCGAGCAAAAUUUUUCCACUAAAAGUGCGUAGAAUUUUCUCCCAAUCUGUCUGCUUUCUUUCUCAAUCUCUUCCCCAUAAGUAUUAUCUUGCAUGUCGAUUAUUUAGGGUUGACGCUGUAGUUCUCUCACGUGUUGGGCUGAUUGGUUCAAGUAAUGCGCCUUAUUCGUAUUGCCUUCUUUAUACAGUGGAGAUGAAAGCCAAUUAGCUAACUAUUCGUGUAACUGCGAAGCUGUGGCCAUAGACUAGCGAGUGAAGCAUUUAUGAAGAAACUUUAUGAAGAACCUUGUAUUUCUCAGCUGAUUAUUCUGUCAUAAGUGAUGUCGUUGCAGACAAUGGUCUUAAUUUACUGUCAGAAUUGGCAUAGCGUGGGACAUGGCAGUUAAUUUCAGUAAACAUGGAAAUAUUUUUGCUCAACGCCCUCUGAAUAUGGAACUGUUGUAAUUGGCUAUCUGAUAAAUUUUUGUUUUGUUUCUUCUUCCGUUUAUACUGCAAUUCAUUUCUGACAACAGUUCUGCAAUGAGAAUUGAGAUUUUUCUUAGUUUGCAAAUUAUUUCUUUUUAUUGCUUAUUGCAGAGUUAGGAGCCAAGCAAGAGAGAAUAAACCAACUUACAUUUGUAUAUGGUGAAGAGAAUGCAUUCUUAAUGUAUUUAAACAGGCAAAGACAUUCAAAGAACAGGGGUGUGUAGAUAAUUUUGUGUUUGCAAAAAGAUGUUGCUCUAUGUUUCAUGGACUCUUAUACUCAUGUCUGACACGGUUAUGUGUCCAAGUGCCUGACUCGGCUAGUCAAUGAAAAAUUUCAAUGAUUUUGGCCCAAAAUGAAGUGUCCAAAGUGUCAAUGUCAUUGUCCAUGUCCGAGUGUCAAGGAUUUGACACAAGACGGGUACUUGAGGUGAAUUAAGAAUCCAUGUAACUAAGGCUGGAGUUAUGUUUUGAUAUGCAGGAAACAUAAUCUUCUUAGUAAAACUACUGUCAACUUUUUUGGCCAAAGAUCUAACACAUCUAAUUGGUGAAGAGUGAUUAUACACUGUAAAACUCAUUGGAAAUUGUACAAAUAAUUAUUGAA
Molecule: long non-coding RNA, 1227 nt
Organism: Beta vulgaris subsp. vulgaris (sugar beet)
Lineage: Eukaryota; Viridiplantae; Streptophyta; Magnoliopsida; Caryophyllales; Amaranthaceae
Exons: 4
Source: RefSeq, a predicted model, not a curated record